UAUUUUGUUCAUAAACUGCAUCAUCCUUGGAAUCUUCUACUUCUCACUCAUGAUCAAAAUUUAGGAUAGAGAAUGGUAUACGGUUUAGUCUAUUUUGAAAUAAAAGUUUAGUUUAC
This 116-nucleotide small RNA is filed under the name Arabidopsis thaliana (thale cress). Its description in RNAcentral is "ATSL057420". The record is from RNAcentral. Lineage: Eukaryota; Viridiplantae; Streptophyta; Magnoliopsida; Brassicales; Brassicaceae.